CGUCUAUAUACGUAUAGCAUAUCAAUAAGCGGAGGAAAAGAAACUAACUAGGAUUCCCUCAGUAACGGCGAGUGGAGCGGGAAGAGCUCAAAUUUGAAAUCUUCAAGGUUCUACCUUGACGAAUUGUAGUUUAAAGAAGUGUUUUCUGUUGGAGUUUUGGUAAAAGUUCUUUGGAAUAGGACAUCAUAGAGGGUGAGAAUCCCGUAUUUGACCAGUUAUUUUCAGCUGUGUGAUACACUUUCAAAGAGUCGGAUUGUUUGGGAAUGCAGUCCAAAAUGGGUGGUAAAUUUCAUCUAAAGCUAAAUACUGGCGAGAGACCGAUAGCGAGCAAGUACCGUGAGGGAAAGAUGAAAAGAACUUUGAAAAGAGAGUUAAACAGUACGUGAAAUUGUCAAAAGGGAAGCGUUUGACACCAGUGUUGUUUUCUCGAAAAUCAAUUAAAAAUGGUGGGAUUCUGUGUUGUAUUGACUUUAUCUGCUUUCUGCACUUUUUUCCUGUCUUUUUUAAUGCACUUUUCGUUUAACAAGUCAACAUCAAUUUCUUUUGUUGUAAAAGAGUCAUUGGAAGGUGGCUUUCUUUUCGGAGAAAGUGUUUAUAGCCUUAGACUUCUGCAAUCGGAGAGAUUGAGGUCUGCAGCGUAGAUCCUUCGGGGUUAGAUGCAUUUGUGCUAAGUUAUAGCCUUUCACAGACAACUUGUUGACUAUGAUCAGUCAUGUAGCUUACUCGCUUAUGUUAUUUUACCUACGCUUAGGAUGUUGACGAUCAGCUGAGCGCG
This 775-nucleotide ribosomal RNA is filed under the name uncultured Neocallimastigales. Its description in RNAcentral is "partial large subunit ribosomal RNA". It matches the Rfam family "Eukaryotic large subunit ribosomal RNA", at positions 26 to 646 of the family's 3401-position model. The record is from RNAcentral. Lineage: Eukaryota; Fungi; Neocallimastigomycota; Neocallimastigomycetes; Neocallimastigales.